This 467-nucleotide ribosomal RNA is filed under the name uncultured bacterium. RNAcentral describes it as "bacterial SSU rRNA". It matches the Rfam family "Bacterial small subunit ribosomal RNA", at positions 330 to 794 of the family's 1533-position model. The record is from RNAcentral.
UCCAGACUCCUACGGGAGGCAGCAGUGAGGAAUAUUGGUCAAUGGCCGGAAGGCUGAACCAGCCAAGCCGCGUGAAGGACGAAGGUGCCAAGCAUUGUAAACUUCUUUUGUCAAGGGACAAAAUCAGGCUCGAGAGCCUGACCGAGGGUACUUGAAGAAAAAGCAUCGGCUAACUCCGUGCCAGCAGCCGCGGUAAUACGGAGGAUGCGAGCGUUAUCCGGAUUCACUGGGUGUAAAGGGAGCGUAGACGGCCAUGCAAGCCAGGGGUGAAAGCCCGGGGCCCAACCCCGGGACUGCCCUUGGAACUGCAUGGCUGGAGUGCGGGAGGGGCAGGCGGAAUUCCUGGUGUAGCGGUGAAAUGCGUAGAUAUCAGGAGGAACACCGGCGGCGAGGGCGGCCUGCUGGACCGCGACUGACGUUGAGGCUCGAAAGCGUGGGGAGCGAACAGGAUUAGAUACCCCGGUACC